GUGAGGAAUUUUCUGCAAUGGGCGAAAGCCUGACAGAGCAAUACCGCGUGAGGGAAGAAGGCUUACUGAGUUGUAAACCUCGGUGCCUUAAGGAAGAAGAUCUGACGGUACUUAAGGUGGAAAGCAUCGGCUAACCCCGUGCCAGCAGCCGCGGUAAGACGGGGGAUGCAAGUGUUAUCCGGAAUUACUGGGCGUAAAGCGUCUGCAGGUGGUUUCUUAAGUCCACUGUUAAACCUUGAGGCUCAACCUCAAAUCUGCAGUGGAAACUAGGGAACUUGAGGAUAGUAGGGGUAGAGGGAAUUUCCAGUGGAGCGGUGAAAUGCGUAGAUAUUGGAAAGAACACCGAUGGCGAAGGCACUCUACUGGGCUAUGACUGACACUCAGAGACGAAAGCUAGGGGAGCAAAUGGGAUUAGAAACCCUUGUAGUCC
This 430-nucleotide ribosomal RNA is filed under the name uncultured bacterium. RNAcentral's name for it is "bacterial SSU rRNA". It matches the Rfam family "Bacterial small subunit ribosomal RNA", at positions 354 to 796 of the family's 1533-position model. The record is from RNAcentral.